Molecule: non-coding RNA, 74 nt
Organism: Podarcis lilfordi (Lilford's wall lizard)
Lineage: Eukaryota; Metazoa; Chordata; Lepidosauria; Squamata; Lacertidae
Source: the annotation of a GenBank genome assembly
GCCUGAAUAGCUCAGCUGGUUAGAGAAUGGGGCUGAUAACACCAAGGUUGCAGGUUUGAUCCCCAUAAUGGACA